AAUAAAUAAAGGGCAUAUGGGGGAUACCUAGGUAUCAAGAGUCGAAGAAGGGCGUAAAAACCAACGAUAUGCUUCAUGGAGCUGGCAUUAAGCAAUGAUAUGAAGAUUCCCGAAUGAGAUAACUUUUUAAACAUUUUUCUGAAUGCAUAGGAAAAAAUGAGAUAACCAAGUGAACUGAAACAUCUUAGUAACUUGUGGAAAAGAAAGCAAAAGCGAUUCCCUUAGUAGUGGCGAACGAACUGGGAACAGCCCAAAAGUUAAUUU
RNAcentral lists this ribosomal RNA (264 nucleotides) under Prasinoderma singulare. RNAcentral describes it as "partial Bacterial large subunit ribosomal RNA". It matches the Rfam family "Bacterial large subunit ribosomal RNA", at positions 1 to 282 of the family's 2925-position model. Lineage: Eukaryota; Viridiplantae; Prasinodermophyta; Prasinodermophyceae; Prasinodermales; Prasinodermaceae. The record is from RNAcentral.